This 243-nucleotide ribosomal RNA is filed under the name uncultured bacterium. Its description in RNAcentral is "partial 16S ribosomal RNA". It matches the Rfam family "Bacterial small subunit ribosomal RNA", at positions 534 to 776 of the family's 1533-position model. The record is from RNAcentral.
GCAAGCGUUGUUCGGAAUUACUGGGCGUAAAGGGCUCGUAGGUGGCCAACUCAGUCAGACGUGAAAUCCCCAGGCUCAACUUGGGAACUGCGUCUGAUACUGGAUGGCUUGAAUUCGGGAGAGGGAUGCAGAAUUCCAGGUGUAGCGGUGAAAUGCGUAGAUAUCUGGAGGAAUACCGGUGGCGAAGGCGGGUAGCUGGGCCAACACUGACGCUAAAGUGCGAAAGCUAGGGGAGCAAACGGG